RNAcentral lists this long non-coding RNA (10099 nucleotides) under Equus caballus (horse). RNAcentral's name for it is "lncRNA (ENSECAG00000056869.1)". The record is from RNAcentral. Lineage: Eukaryota; Metazoa; Chordata; Mammalia; Perissodactyla; Equidae.
CUUGGACUCACCAGGAGGCCUGUGGCCUAUUUUACUAAGCAGUCAGAUCAGAUGGUCAAAGGAUAGCUGUCUUGCCUCUGAGCCAUUGCCACCAUCUGUAACAUAGUACAAGAAGCUGAAAAAUUCACAUUGGCACAGGCCACAAUGGCGCACACUCCCCAUUGUGUCCUCCCUCUAUGAGUCCUCUAAGAAAAGAACAGAAUGGAGGAUCUUGGCUAACCUCAGGAUCAGCCUACUUUAUGAGACAACCCAGAAGUAAAGUUAAAUGCUAUUUCUACCUUAAAACCUGCAACACUUCUACCUACUGAGUCAACAAGACCCCUUUCAUGAUGAGUGACUUCAGAUCAUUGAACAGGUAUUCUAGAGUUGACCUGAUUUGACUGUCCAACUGUUGGAGCAGUUGGACUUGGGACUGUUCACUGAUGGAAGCAGCUUCUUGGAUGAGGGCAACAUCAAGCAGGGCAUGUAGUUGUCACCCUUCAGGACACCAUGGAAGCAAAGGCUUUGCCUCCAGGUGUUUCAUCUCAGGAGGCUGAGCUAAUAGCCCUAAAUAAAGUUCUUCAAAUAGGUAAAGACACAAGAGCACAGACUCAAAAUAUGCCUUUUUAGUGGUCCAUGCCCCUGGGGCCAUAUGGAAAGAGAGGGGUCUCUUGACUGUUGGAAAGAGGGACAUAAAAUAUUCCCAGGAAAUAUUGACCUUAUUAGAGGCUAUUAAUGACCCAUGGCAGUAGCCAUCAUGUACUGCCCUCCACAUCAGAAAGGGGACACUUUGGAAGCCCGACGUAAUCAACUGGCUGAUCAGGCAGUGAAGACUGCUGUUAGCACUAUGAGUUUCAGGGCACUCUUGGGUCCCUUAGUUCCCCAAAUUGACAUUGCUAAAUUCCAGCAUAGCUACACACAGAAAGAUUUAGAGAGAGCCAGAGCAUGGAGAUUUGACUCCUCAUCUGUGGAGUAUCCAGGAUAUAAAUGUAAGUCAGAAAGACUCAUCUUGGUAUCUGAAGCCCUUCUGGGAGAAAGUGUGAAUCAAAUGCAUCAGAGCACUCACUAUGGAAAGGAGGCCACCUUGCAGUGGAUCAAGGAGGUGGUUUGUUCUAACUUGCAAAGAAACAUUCAGAAAGUUACUAAAAAUGUGUGAUCUGUGCCAAAAACAAUCCCAGGACAGGGCUGCUCUCCUUGAAUAAUGGGGUUCAACAUUCACGAGUUUUCCCCUGUGAGGACUUGCAACUGGAAUUUAACAUGAUGCCUUGAGCCUCUAGGAAAGCCAAGUAACUAGAGUACUCAUAGACACCUUCACAGUGUGGGUUGAAGUAUUCCCGUCCAAAACAGGGAGGGACACCAAAGUGACCAAGGAUUCCCAAAAGGAGAUCAUUCCAGGGACAAAAUUCCACUGUCAAUCCAGAACGACAACAGCACUGAAUUUAUCUAAAUCAUUCUGGCAUGGACCACUGUGCUUAAGGGGAAGAUGGAGGCAUUUGGAGUGAGCAGGGUUGGAAAGACGCAAAUGUGGCAGAAGGAGAAGUUCUACAGGGGUGAGAUGAGGGAUGGAAAGAAAUGGCAUUACAGCCGCCUUUGUAGGAGACGUUCCCGGUCAGCUGUAAGAGCAUGGUGCAAAGCGAGUUCUUUCUCAGCUUGACAAAGAGCUGCAAGCAAGAUGGUUUGUGGCCUGUCUCCCUUUCAGGAAUCAAGGCAGUGCUUUGUGCCUUCCAUCUCUAGAGCACUGUCCGAGACAGCUGAGAGUAGAAGCUCUAAUUCAGCAAGAUCAGGGCUAGAAAGAAACUGCGUCUCACAGGCCUUUGUAAGAGAUGUUCCCAGGAGGCUGUAAGAGCACUGUGGAGAUUGAGUUGUUUAUCAGCUUACCAAAGAGCUGGAAGCAAGACCAUUUGUGGCUUGUCUUCCUUUGAGGGACUGAGUCAGUGCUUUGUGACUUCCACCUCUAGGGCAAUGGAGGACAUGGCUUUGAGCAGAAGUUCUACGGUGGUGAGAUCAGGGCUGGAAAUAAACUGCGUUUCAGGCCUUUGUAUGACGGGUUCCCGGUAGGCUGUAAGAGCACUGUGGAAAGCGAGUUCUUUCUCAGCUUGCCAAAGAGCUGGAAGCAAGACGGCUUGUGGCCUGUCUCCCCUUGAGGAAACAAGGCAGGACUUUGUGCCUUGCAUGCCUACAGCAAUGUAGGACACGGCAAAGCAGAGGUUCUACUUCAGCGACAUCAGGUCUGGAAAGAAACUGCGUUCCACAGGCCUUUGUAAGAGAUGUUACCGGGAGGCUGUAAGAGCCCUGUGGAGAGCGAGUUGUUUCUUACCUUCCGAAAGACCUGGAAGAAAGACCAUUUGAGGCUUGUUUCCCUUUGAGGCACUGAUUCAGUUCUUUGUUCCUUCCACCUGUAGGGCAAUGGAGGACAUGGCUCAGAGCAGAAGUUCUAAGAAUGCUAGAUCAGGGCUGGAAACUAACUGCCUUUCAGGCCUUUGUAUGACAGGUGCCCUGCAGGCAUUAAGAGCACUGUGGAAAGCAAUUUCUUUCUCGGCUUGCCAAAGAGAUGGAAGCAAGAUGGUUUGUGGCCGCUCUCCCUUUGGAGAAAAGAGGCAGUUCCUUUUCCCUUCCACCCCUAGGAAAGUGCAUGACACGGCAGAGGAGAAGUUCUAAUUCAGUGAGAUCAGGGCUGGAAAGAAACUGCAUUUCACAGACAUUUGUAAGACAUGUUCCCAGGACGCUGUAAGAGCACUGUGGAGAGCGAGCUGUUUCUUAGCUUCCCAAAGAGCUGGAAGUAAGAUCAUUUGUGGCUUGUCUCCUUUUGAGGCACUCACUCAGUGGUUUGUGCCUUGCACCUCUAGAGCAAUGGAGGACAUGGCUUAGAGCAGAAGCUCUAAGGCGACGAGAUCAGGGCUGGAAACAAACUGCAUUUCAGGCCUUUAUAUGACAGGUUCCUGGUAGUCUGUAAGAGCACUGAGGAAAGCGAGUUCUUUCUCGGCUUGCCAAAGAGCUGGAAGCAAGACGGUUUGGGUCCUGUCUCCCCUUGAGGAGACAAGGCAGGACUUUGUCCCUUGCAGCUCUAGGGCCAUGUAGGACACAGCAGAGCAGAAGUUCUACUACAGCGAGAUCAGGCCUGGGAAGAAACUGCAUUUCACAGCCCUUUGUAAGAGAUGUUCCCGGUAGGCUGUAAGAGCACUGCGGAGAGCGAGUUGUUUCUUAGCUGCCCAGAGAGCUGGAACCGGCACGCUGAGGGACUUGUCCCCCAUUGUGGAAACAAGGCAGGACUUUCUGCCUUGCAGCUCUUGGGCCAUGUAGGACACGGCAGAGCAGAAGUUCUACUUCAGUGAGAUCAGGCCUGGGAAGAAAUUGCGUCUCACAGGCCUUUGUAAGACACGUUCCCGGUAGGCUUUAAGAGCCCUGUGCAGAGCGAGUUGUUUCUUAGACUGCAAAAGAGCUGGAAGCCGGACGCUGUGGGGCCUGUCUGCCCUUGAAGACACAGCAGAGGACUUUGUCCCUUUCAGCUCUGGCCCAUGUAGGACACGGCAGAGCAGAAGUUCUACUUCAGUGAGAUCAGGCCUGGGAAGAAAUUGCGUCUCACAGGCCUUUGUAAGACACGUUCCCGGUAGGCUUUAAGAGCCCUGUGCAGAGCGAGUUGUUUGUUAGACUGCAAAAGAGCUGGAAGCCGGACGCUGUGGGGCCUGUCUGCCCUUGAGGACACAAGACAGGACUUUGUCCCUUUUAGCUCUAGGCCCAUGUAGGACACGGCAGAGCAGAAGUUCUACUUCACCGAGAUCAGGCCUGGGAAGAAACUGCGUUUCACAGGCCUUUGUAGGACAUGUUCCCAGUAGGCUGUAAAACACCAGUGCAGAGCGAGCAGUUUCUUAGCUGCCCAAAGAGAUGGAAGCCUGACGCUGUGGGGCCUCUCUGCCCUUGAGGACACAAGGCUGGACUUUCUCCCUUUGAGGUCUAGGGGCAUGUAGGACACGGCAGAGCUGAACUUCUACUUCAGCGAGAUCAGGCCUGGUAAGAAACUGCGUUUCACAGGCCUUUGUAAGACAUGUUCCUGGUAGGCUUGUAUGCCCGAUGCAGAGCGAGUUGUUUCUUAGUUGCCCAAAAGCUGGAAGGGGGACACUGUGCUGCCGGCCUGCCCCUGAGGAGAGAAGGCAGGAGUUUGUCCCUUUCAGCUCUAGGCCCAUGUAGGACAUGGCAGAGCAGAAGUUCUAAUUCAGCGAGAUCUAGCCUGGGAAGAGACUGCGUUUCAGAUGCCUUUGUAAGACAUGUUCCCUGUAGGCUGUAAAACACCAGUGCAGAGCCAGCUGUUUCUCAGCUGCCCAAAGAGCUGGAAGCCGGACACUCUGCUGCCCGUCUGCCCUUGAGGAGACAAGGCAGGACUUUGUCCCUUGCAGCUCUAUGGCCAUGUAGGACACGGCAGAUCAGAAGUCCUACAUCAGGGAGAGCAGGCCUGGGAAGAAACAGCAUAACACAGGCCUUUGUACGAUAUGUUCCUGGUAGGCUUGUAGGAGCCCUGUGCAGAGCGAGUUGUUUCUUAGCAGCCCAAAGAGCUGUAAUCUGGACGCUGAGGGACUUGUCUCCCCUUGUGGAAACAAAGCAGGACUUUGUGAAUUGCGGCUCUAGGGUCAUGAAGGACACGGCAGAGCAGAAGUCCUACAUCAGGGAGAGCAGGCCUGGGAAGAAACAGCAUAACCCAGGUCUUUGUACGAUAUGUUCCCGGUUGGCUUGUAGGAGCCCUGUGCAGAGCGAGCUGUUUCUUAGCAGCCCAAAGAGCUGGAAUCCGGACGCUGAGGGACUUGUCUCCCCUUGUGGAAACAAAGCAGGACUUUGUGAAUUGCGGCUCUAGGGUCAUAAAGGACACGGCAGAGCAGAAGUUCUACUUCAGCGAGAUCAGGCCUGGGAAGCAACUGCGUUUCACAGGCCUUUGUAAGACAUGUUCCCGGUAGGCUUUAAGAGCCCUGUGCAGAGCGAGUUGUUUCUUAGCCUGCCAAAGAGCUGGAAGCCGGACGCUGUGGGACCAGUCUGCCCUUGAGGACACAAGACAGGACUUUGUCCCUUUCUGCUCUAGGCACAUGCAGGACACGGCAGAGCAGAAGUUCUACUUCAGCGAGAUCAGGUCUGGGAAGAAACUGCGUUUCAGGGGCCUUUGUAAGCCAUGUUCCCGGUAGGCUGUAAAACACCAGUGCAGAGCGAGCUGAUUCUUAGCUGCUCAAAGAGCUGGAAGCCGGACGGUGUGGGACCUGUCUGCCCUUGAAGACACAACAGAGGACUUUGUCCCUUUCAGCUCCAGGCCCAUCUAGGACACGGCAGAGCAGAAGUUCUACCUCACUGAGAUCAGGCCUGGGAAGAAACUGCGUUUCACUUGCCUUUGUAGGACAUCUUCCCGGUAGGCUGUAAAGCACCAGUGCAGAGCGAGCUGUUUCUUAGCUGCACAAAGAGAUGGAAGCUGGACGCUGUGGGGCCUGUCUGCUCUUGAAGACACAACACAGGACUUUGUCCCUUACAGCUCUAGGCCCAUGUAGGACACGGCAGAGCAGAAGUUCUACUUCAGCGAGAUCAGGCCUGUGAAGAAACUGCGUUUCACAGGCCUUUGGAACAUGUUCCCGGUAGGCUGUAAAACACCACUGCAGAGCGAUUUGUUUCUUAGCUGCCCAAAGAGCUGGAAGCCGGACACUCUGCUGCCCGUCUGCCCUUGAGAAGACAAGGCAGGACUUUGUCCCUUGCAGCUCUAUGGCCAUGUAAGACACGGCAGAGCAGAACUCCUACAUCAGGGAGAGCAGGCCUGGGAAGAUACAUCAUAACACAGGGCUUUGUACGAUAUGUUCCCGGUAGGCUUGUAGGAGCCCUGUGCAGAGCGAGUUGUUUCUUAGCAGCCCAAAGACAUGGAAUCUGGACGCUGAGGGACUUGUCUCCCCUUGUGGAAACAAAGCCGGACUUUGCGAAUUGCAGAUCUAGGGUCAUGUAGGACACGGCAGAGCAGAAGUUCUACUUCAGCGAGAUCAGGCCUGGGAAGAAACUGCGUUUCACAGGCCUUUGUAAGACAUGUUCCCGGUAGGCUGUAAAACACCAGUGCAGAGCGAGCUGUUUCUCAGCUGCCCAAAGAGCUGGAAGCCGGACGCUGUGGGGCCUGUCUGCCCUUGAAGACACAGCAGAGGACUUUGUCACUUUCAGCUCUAGGCCCAUGUAGGACACGGCAGAGCAGGAGUUCUACUUCAGCGAGAGCCUGCCUGAGAUGAAACUGCGUUUCAUAGGCCUUUGUAAGACAUGCUCCCGGUAGGCUUGUGAAAGCCCUGUGCAGAGUGAGCUGUUUCUUAGCUUCCCAAAGAGCUGGAAGCCGGACGCUGUGGGACCAGUCUGCCCUUGAGGACACAGACAGGACUUUGUCCCAUCAGCUCUAGGCCCAUGCAGGACACGGCAGAGCAGAAGUUCUACUUCAGCGAGAUCAGGUCUGGGAAGAAACUGCGUUUCACAGGCCUUUGUAAGACAUGUUCCCAGUAGGCUUUAAGAGCCCUGUGCAGAGCGAGUUGUUUCUUAGCCUGCCAAAGAGCUGGAAACCGGACGCUGUGGGACCAGUCUGGCCUUGAGGACACAAGACAGGACUUUGUCCCUUUCAGCUCUAGGCCCAUGCAGGACACGGCAGAGCAGAAGUUCUACCUCACUGAGAUCAGGCCUGGGAAGAAACUGCGUUUCACUUGCCUUUGUAGGACAUCUUCCCGGUAGGCUGUAAAGCACCAGUGCAGAGCGAGCUGUUUCUUAGCUGCACAAAGAGAUGGAAGCUGGACGCUGUGGGGCCUGUCUGCUCUUGAAGACACAACACAGGACUUUGUCCCUUUCAGCUCUAGGCCCACGUAGGACACGGCAGAGCAGAAGUUCUACUUCACCGAGAUCAGGCUGGGAAGAAACUGCGUUUCAGAUGCCUUUGUAAGACAUGUUCCAGGUAGGCUUGUAGGAGCCCGAUGCAGAGCGAGUUGUUUCUUUGUUGCCCAAAAGCUGGAAGGCGGACACUGUGCUGCCGCCCUGCCCCUGAGGAGAGAAGGCGGGAGUUUGUCCCUUUCAGCUCUAGGCCCAUGUAGGACACGGCAGAGGAGAAGUUCUAAUUGAACGAGGUCUGGACUGGGCACAAACUGCGUUUCAGAUGCCUUUGUAAGACAUGUUCCCUGUAGGCUGUAAAACACCAGUGCAGAGCGAGCUGUUUCUCAGCUUCCCAAAGAGCUGGAAGCUGGACGCUGUGGGACCUGUCUGCCCUUGAGGACAAAAGGCAGAACUUUGUCCCUUUCAGCUCUAGGCCCAUGUAGAACACGGCAGAGCAGAAGUUCUACUUCAGCGAGAUCAGGCCUGGGAAGAAACUGCGUUUCACAGGCCUUUGUAAGACAUGUUCCCGGUAGGCUUUAAGAGCGCUGUGCAGAACGAGUUGUUUCUUAGCUGCCCAAAGAGCUGGAAGCUGGACGCUGAGGGACUUGCCUCUCCUUGUGGAAACAAGGCAGGAUUUUGUGAAUUGCAGCUCUAGGGUCAAAUAGGACACGGCAGAGCAGAAGUUCUACUUCAGCGAGAUCAGGCCUGGGAAGAAACUGCGUCUCACAGGCCUUUGUAAGACAUGUUCCCGGUAGGCUUUAAGAGCCCUGUGCAGAGCGAGUUGUUUCUUAGACUGCAAAAGAGCUGGAAGCCUGACGCUUUGGGGCCUCUCUGCCCUUGAGGACACAAGACAGGACUUUGUCCCUUUUAGCUCUAGGCCCAUGUAGGACACGGCAGAGCAGAAGUUCUACUUCAGCGAGAGCAGGCCUGAGAUGAAACUGCGUUUCAUAGGCCUUUGUAAGACAUGCUCCCGGUAGGCUUGUAAAAGCCCUGUGCAGAGUGAGCUGUUUCUUAGCUUCCCAAAGAGCUGGAAGCCGGACGCUGUGGGACCUGUCUGCCCUUGAGGACAAAAGGCAGAACUUUGUCCCUUUCAGCUCUAGGCCCAUGUAGAACACGGCAGAGCAGAAGUUCUACUUCAGCGAGAUCAGGCCUGGGAAGAAACUGCGUCUCACAGGCCUUUGUAAGACAUGUUCCCGGUAGGCUUUAAGAGCCCUGUGCAGAGCGAGUUGUUUCUUAGACUGCCAAAGAGCUGGAAGCCGGACGCUGUGGGACCAGUCUGCCCUUGAGGACACAAGACAGGACUUUGUCCCUUUCAGCUCUAGGCCCAUGCAGGACACGGCAGAGCAGAAGUUCUACUUCAGCGAGAUCAGGUCUGGGAAGAAACUGCGUUUCACAGGCCUUUGUAAGACAUGUUCCCGGUAGGCUUUAAGAGCCCUGUGCAGAGCGAGUUGUUUCUUAGCCUGCCAAAGAGCUGGAAGCCGGACGCUGUGGGACCAGUCUGCCCUUGAAGACACAAGACAGGAGUUUGUCCCUUUCAUCUCUAGGCCCAUGCAGGACACGGCAGAGCAGAAGUUCUACUUCAGCGAGAUCAGGUCUGGGAAGAGACUGCGUUUCACAGGCCUUUGUAAGACAUGUUCCCGGUAGGCUUUAAAAGCCCAGGGCAGAGCGAGCUGUUUCUUAGCUGCCCAAAGAGCUGGAAGCCGGACGCUGUGGGGCCUGUCUGCCCUUGAGGACACAACACAGGACUUUGUCCCUUUCAGCUCUAGGCCCAUGUAGGACACGGCAGAGCUGAACUUCUGCUUCAGCGAGAUCAGGCCUGGGAAGAAACUGCGUUUCGCAGGCCUUUCUCAACAUGUUCCUGGUAGGCUUGUAGGAGCCCUGUGCAGAGCGAGUUGUUUCUUAGCUGCCCAAAGAGCUGGAAGCCGGACGCUGAGGGACUUGCCUCCCCUUGUGGAAACAAGGCAGGACUUUGUGAAUUGCAGCUCUAGGGUCAAAUAGGACACGGCAGAGCAGAAGUUCUACUUCAGCGAGAUCAGGCCUGGGAAGAAACUGCGUCUCACAGGCCUUUGUAAGACAUGUUCCCGGUAGGCUUUAAGAGCCCUGUGCAGAGCGAGUUGUUUCUUAGACUGCAAAAGAGCUGGAAGCCGGACGCUGUGGGGCCUGUCUGCCCUUGAAGACACAAGACAGGACUUUGUCCCUUUCAGCUCUAGGCCCAUGUAGGACACGGCAGAGCAGAAGUUCUACUUCAGCGAGAUCAGGCCUGGGAAGAAACUGCGUCUCACAGGCCUUUGUAAGACAUGUUCCCGGUAGGCUUUAGGAGCCCUGUGCAGAGCGAGUUGUUUCUUAGCCUUCCAAAGAGCUGGAAGCCGGAUGCUGUGGGACCAGUCUGCCCUUGAGGACACAAGACAGGACUUUGUCCCUUUCAGCUCUAGGCCCAUGCAGGACACGGCAGAGCAGAAGUUCUACUUCAGCGAGAUCAGGUCUGGGAAGAAACUGCGUUUCACAGGCCUUUGUAAGACAUGUUCACGGUAGGCUGUAAAACAGCAGUGCAGAGCAAGCUGUUUCUCAGCUGCCCAAAGAGCUGGAAGCCGGACGCUGAGGGACUUGCCUCCCCUUGUGGAAACAAGGCAGGACUUUAUGAAUUGCAGCUCUAGGGUCAAAUAGGACACGACAGAGCAGAAGUUCUACUUCAGCGAGAUCAGGCCUGGGAAGAAACUGCGUCUCACAGGCCUUUGUAAGACAUGUUCCCGGUAGGCUUUAAGAGCCCUGUGCAGAGCGAGUUGUUUCUUAGACUGCCAAAGAGAUGAAAGCCGGACUCUGUGUGGCCUGUCUGCCCUUGAGGACACAAGACAGGACUUUCUCCCUUUUAGCUCCAGGCCCAUGUAGGACACGGCAGAGCAGAAGUUCUACUUCAGCGAGAGCAGGCCUGAGAUGAAACUGCGUUUCAUAGGCCUUUGUAAGACAUGUUCCCGGUAGGCUGUAAAACAGCAGUGCAGAGCAAGCUGUUUCUCAGCUGCCCAAAGAGCUGGAAGCCGGACGCUGUGGGGCCUGUCUGCCCAUGAAGACACAACAGAGGACUUUGUCCCUUUCAUCUCUAGGCCCAUGUAGGACACGGCAGAGCAGAAGUUCUACUUCACCGAGAUUAGGCCUGGCAAGAAACUGCGUUUCACAGGCCUUUGUUGGACAUGUUCCCAGUAGGCUGUAAAACACCAGUGCAGAGCCAGCUGUUUCUUAGCUGCCCAAAGAGCUGGAAGUCGGACGCUGUGGGGCC